GAAUAUGAGGGUGAUCUGGCUGUGACAUCUGUCACCCUAUUGAUCCCCAGGGUGGAUUUGGCUGAUCUGGUUGGCUAGGCAGGUGUCCCGCCUUCCCUCACCACUCCAUGCUCAUCCCUUCCAAAGCUGCCCGGUCAGAGGAGACGACCACCCCAAUAAGUAGGACCACUCCCUGCUAGAACCUCCAAAAAAGCUCUAAAGAACAAAUAUUUUGAAGACAAUGAACUGAGAAUUGAGUCCCCACAUAUGGUACUAUAUCUGUGAUCUUGGACCUAUA
RNAcentral lists this small nuclear RNA (277 nucleotides) under Chinchilla lanigera (long-tailed chinchilla). Its description in RNAcentral is "7SK RNA (ENSCLAG00000022192.1)". It matches the Rfam family "7SK RNA". From Rfam's summary of the family: 7SK was discovered as an abundant small nuclear RNA in the mid-70s but a possible function has only recently been suggested. Two independent studies have found that 7SK RNA binds the CDK9/cyclin T complex (known as elongation factor P-TEFb). P-TEFb activates transcription by phosphorylating the C-terminal domain of RNA polymerase II. Lineage: Eukaryota; Metazoa; Chordata; Mammalia; Rodentia; Chinchillidae. The record is from Rfam by way of RNAcentral.